Octopus sinensis (East Asian common octopus) is the source of this 212-nucleotide long non-coding RNA. RefSeq lists it as uncharacterized. NCBI's taxonomy places the organism in Eukaryota, Metazoa, Mollusca, Cephalopoda, Octopoda, Octopodidae. The transcript has 3 exons. The record is from RefSeq and is a predicted model, not a curated record.
CUGUCAGGUCUGUGUGGUGGAUGUGACAUCACAUCCCAACUAAGCUCUAAUGAUUUUUCCCGAGUUAGCAAAGACAUGUGUGGUCUAGUGUUGUCAUGGUAGAACAUGAUUCCUUUACGAUUUGCCAAUUCUGGCUGUUUUUCUUUGAUUGCUUCCUCCAGUUUCAUUAGUUGUUGACAGUAAACAUCUGAAUUGAUCAUUUAGUUCCAUGG